This 606-nucleotide ribosomal RNA is filed under the name Aspergillus tubingensis. RNAcentral's name for it is "eukaryotic LSU rRNA". The stretch from base 219 to 372 matches the Rfam family "5.8S ribosomal RNA". Lineage: Eukaryota; Fungi; Ascomycota; Eurotiomycetes; Eurotiales; Aspergillaceae. The record is from RNAcentral.
CUUCCGUAGGUGAACCUGCGGAAGGAUCAUUACCGAGUGCGGGUCCUUUGGGCCCAACCUCCCAUCCGUGUCUAUUAUACCCUGUUGCUUCGGCGGGCCCGCCGCUUGUCGGCCGCCGGGGGGGCGCCUUUGCCCCCCGGGCCCGUGCCCGCCGGAGACCCCAACACGAACACUGUCUGAAAGCGUGCAGUCUGAGUUGAUUGAAUGCAAUCAGUUAAAACUUUCAACAAUGGAUCUCUUGGUUCCGGCAUCGAUGAAGAACGCAGCGAAAUGCGAUAACUAAUGUGAAUUGCAGAAUUCAGUGAAUCAUCGAGUCUUUGAACGCACAUUGCGCCCCCUGGUAUUCCGGGGGGCAUGCCUGUCCGAGCGUCAUUGCUGCCCUCAAGCCCGGCUUGUGUGUUGGGUCGCCGUCCCCCUCUCCGGGGGGACGGGCCCGAAAGGCAGCGGCGGCACCGCGUCCGAUCCUCGAGCGUAUGGGGCUUUGUCACAUGCUCUGUAGGAUUGGCCGGCGCCUGCCGACGUUUUCCAACCAUUUUUUCCAGGUUGACCUCGGAUCAGGUAGGGAUACCCGCUGAACUUAAGCAUAUCAAUAAGCGGAGGAAUUUU